CGCCCGAAGGCCGGGGCGCCAAGUUCGUCCAGCGGAAAAAGGCCACAAAAACGGGUGGGCUAUAGCCUUGGGGGGUGGGGCUGGCUAACUUCGUCCGCUGGACUCGGAAUGGCGCGAGACUUUGCGAGGCGCCUCCGUCUGCUAAAAAUAGGCCGCGGGCACAGCCGCACCCAGAAAUAACUGCCCGAAGGACGGGGCGCCAAGUUCGUCCAGCGGAAAAAGGCCACAAAAACGGGUGGGCUAUAGCCUUGGGGGGUGGGGCUGGCUAACUUCGUCCGCUGGACUCGGAAUGGCGCGAGACUUUGCGAGGCGCCUCCGUCUGCUAAAAAUAGGCCGCGGGCACAGCCGCACCCAGAAAUAACUGCCCGAAGGCCGGGGCGCCAAGUUCGUCCAGCGGAAAAAGGCCACAAAAACGGGUGGGCUAUAGCCUUGGGUGGUGGGGCUGGCCAACUUCGUCUUCCGGACUCGGAAUGGCGCGAGAGUUUGCGAGGCGCCCCCGUGUGCCAAAAAUAGGCUGCGGUCACAGGCGCACCCAAAAAUAACCGCCCGAAGGCUGGGGAGCCAAGUUCGUCCAGCGGAAAAAGGCCACAAAAACGGGUGGGCUAUAGCCUUGGGUGGUGGGACUGGACAACUUCGUCCGCCGGACUCGGAAUGGAGCCAGACUUUGCGAGCAGCCUCCGUGUGCCAAAAAUAGGCCGUGGACACAGCCGCGCUCAGAAAUAACUACCCGAAGGCCGGGUCGCCAAGUUCGUCCGGCGGAAAAAGCCGACAAAAACGGGUGGGCUAUAGCCUUNN
This 795-nucleotide long non-coding RNA is filed under the name Citrus x clementina. RNAcentral's name for it is "Citrus clementina (C. clementina) long non-coding RNA (CCLE_LNC005972)". Lineage: Eukaryota; Viridiplantae; Streptophyta; Magnoliopsida; Sapindales; Rutaceae. The record is from RNAcentral.